This 253-nucleotide ribosomal RNA is filed under the name uncultured Eubacteriales bacterium. Its description in RNAcentral is "uncultured Clostridiales bacterium partial 16S ribosomal RNA". It matches the Rfam family "Bacterial small subunit ribosomal RNA", at positions 524 to 776 of the family's 1533-position model. Lineage: Bacteria; Bacillati; Bacillota; Clostridia; Eubacteriales. The record is from RNAcentral.
UACGUAGGUGACAAGCGUUGUCCGGAUUUACUGGGUGUAAAGGGCGUGUAGGCGGGAUAGCAAGUCAGUCGUGAAAUACCGAGGCUCAACCUCGGAGCUGCGAUUGAAACUGUUAUUCUUGAGUAUCGGAGAGGAAAGCGGAAUUCCCAGUGUAGCGGUGAAAUGCGUAGAUAUUGGGAGGAACACCAGUGGCGAAGGCGGCUUUCUGGACGACAACUGACGCUGAGGCGCGAAAGUGUGGGGAGCAAACAGG